UUGAACGCUGGCGGCAGGCCUAACACAUGCAAGUCGAACGGUAACAGGAAGCAGCUUGCUGCUUUGCUGACGAGUGGCGGACGGGUGAGUAAUGUCUGGGAAACUGCCUGAUGGAGGGGGAUAACUACUGGAAACGGUAGCUAAUACCGCAUAACGUCGCAAGACCCAAGAGGGGGACCUUAGGGCCUCUUGCCAUCGGAUGUGCCCAGAUGGGAUUAGCUAGUAGGUGGGGUAACGGCUCACCUAGGCGACGAUCCCUAGCUGGUCUGAGAGGAUGACCAGCCACACUGGAACUGAGACACGGUCCAGACUCCUACGGGAGGCAGCAGUGGGGAAUAUUGCACAAUGGGCGCAAGCCUGAUGCAGCCAUGCCGCGUGUAUGAAGAAGGCCUUCGGGUUGUAAAGUACUUUCAGCGGGGAGGAAGGGAGUAAAGUUAAUACCUUUGCUCAUUGACGUUACCCGCAGAAGAAGCACCGGCUAACUCCGUG
RNAcentral lists this ribosomal RNA (489 nucleotides) under uncultured bacterium. RNAcentral describes it as "partial 16S ribosomal RNA". It matches the Rfam family "Bacterial small subunit ribosomal RNA", at positions 30 to 507 of the family's 1533-position model. The record is from RNAcentral.